UACGGAGGGGGCUAGCGUUGUUCGGAAUUACUGGGCGUAAAGCGCGCGUAGGCGGCUUUGUAAGUUAGAGGUGAAAGCCCGGGGCUCAACCCCGGAAUUGCCUUUAAGACUGCAUCGCUUGAAUCCGGGAGAGGUGAGUGGAAUUCCGAGUGUAGAGGUGAAAUGCGUAGAUAUUCGGAAGAACACCAGUGGCGAAGGCGGCUUGCCGGAAUGCGAUCGACGGUGAGGGAUGAAAGCUGGGGGAGCAAACGGG
This 253-nucleotide ribosomal RNA is filed under the name uncultured bacterium. RNAcentral describes it as "partial 16S ribosomal RNA". It matches the Rfam family "Bacterial small subunit ribosomal RNA", at positions 524 to 776 of the family's 1533-position model. The record is from RNAcentral.